RNAcentral lists this ribosomal RNA (253 nucleotides) under uncultured bacterium. RNAcentral's name for it is "partial 16S ribosomal RNA". It matches the Rfam family "Bacterial small subunit ribosomal RNA", at positions 524 to 776 of the family's 1533-position model. The record is from RNAcentral.
UACGAAGGACCCGAGCGUUAUCCGGAUUUAUUGGGUUUAAAGGGUGCGUAGGCGGAUUUACAAGUCAGUGGUGAAAUCUCCCAGCUUAACUGGGAAACUGCCAUUGAAACUGUUUAUCUUGAGUACAUUUGAGGCGGGCGGAAUGUGUCAUGUAGAGGUGAAAUUCUUAGAUAUUGGGAAGAACACCGGUGGCGUAGGCGACUAGCUGGGCCAUAACUGACACUGAGGAACGAAAGCCAGGGUAGCGAAUGGG